UUAAAAGCUUCAUUAAUUGCUUUUAAAUCCAAACAACCUUUCACAUCCAAACUUAAAGCCUAGAAGUUAUUGGCAUGCCCGGUAUGGAGUUAUGUGAUGCCUAAAGCAUACCACAAAAUUUAAAAAAAAAAAAAAAAAAAAAAAAGUUGUCUCUUUUUUUAUAGCUAAUUUUCUCUCAAAAGUUAGGUUUUAUUAUCAUUAAAAGUUUUACAUUAAUAGUAUCAAUGUAUCGAUCAUACUUCCUUAUAUUAAAC
Molecule: long non-coding RNA, 254 nt
Filed under: Capsella rubella
Lineage: Eukaryota; Viridiplantae; Streptophyta; Magnoliopsida; Brassicales; Brassicaceae
Description: long non-coding RNA (CRUB_LNC002730)
Source: RNAcentral